UUUACCCCCUACGGCCAAGUUUCUUGGAAGUUGUCCCCGAGCCCUUGUUGGCUGGUGUGAUAGCAGGAGUGUGCUUCCUGUUUGUGGCCAUCAUCCUGUCCUUGGUAACAGCGUGCUAUAUGAGUCAAAGGAGACAACGCCGGCGCAGAAAGCGGCAACAGGACUUACCUCCUGCCUUCCAGAAGAGUACAUCUCCACAAGCUCGCACGCCACCUCGGAGCCCAGACAGUGUCCUAAAGCUGAAGCUGUGUCCGCCACUUCCCUUCUUCCCCAACUCCUCUUCUGCACAGUCUGAUCGGUCAUCUUUUGAGAAAGGCAGUCGUGGUGAAUACCAUGACCAGCGAAAACAGCUCCUGUCCAACUCAUCUCCACCACCACAUUACACACUGUUUGAGAGUCACCUGGGCUCCCAGGCCCCUUCCCCAACUGCUCUAGAAUCCAUCUCCAGAGGUCCAGAUGGACGCUUCAUUGUGCAACCAUUACAGGAGGGUUCAAGUCCCACAGAUAAGAAAAAUCUCAAAAAGGAUGUCCUGCAAAGUAAUGGUGGGGCAAGUGGCUCAGGGAGCAACCGGACGUCAUUCAGGGACUCCCCAAAGUCAAGUAUCCUGAGCUCAGAAAAGGAUGAGAGAAAGGAUUCCCCGCUUACUGUAGAUGUGCCAGAGUUGAGCAGGCCUCCUUCCUCUCCAGGGAGAGUUCGGGCAAUGGCCAGAAACUUUUCUCGUCACGGGUGCUUUUACUCUGAUGAUGAACAAAGCUCAGAGGCCCUGCUGGAAAGAGCCAGUUUCUAUUCAGACAACAGUGAAAGAAAACCCAGUGAUUCUCUCAGGAGACACCGCAUACCAGGCCACACAGAAGAUCUUUUCCCCAGUUUGGGCCGGAGAGCUAGAGAAAGAGACAGAUCACCCCUUACUGCUUACCAGCCUAUAGAAAAAGAAAGUCAGCUGACAAACAACAGUACUCAGCUCUCACAACUUGACAGUGAGCUGGAGAGGGACAGUGUUAACAAAUGUGUCCAACUAGCAAAGGAAAGGGAAGAAAUAGAGCGGGAGUUGAAGAACUAUACAGCCAAUCAGAGAAGUCAAAGUCAAUUGGAUAAGGCAAAAAACCCUCAAAGAGAACUUCCCAAAUCAGAGGAUGAGCCUAUAUGGAAACCACAAGAUGUUACAAUCAGACACAAACACAGGCCCUCAGGUCAGACCAGUCGGGUAUCUGAUUAUAGGAAGGCUUGUUACUUUGGCAACACUAGCAGCCCCAUGGAUCGGCUCUCUACCUCUCGCAUACAUUGGGACAUAAGUCCUGUUACAUCAGUCACCAGUCUCAUUCCUGUACAGACUCCCAGGGACGCCACAUCUCCCAGGUCACUGCGUCCUCACACAUCUACGGAGGGUUCUCUUCUUGAUUCACCUCGUUCUCCAGUUACCCAGAACACCUCCCUCCCCCUACUCUCCCCUGGUGGUACCUCAGAAAGUUUGGAAAUACCUGAGAGAGCCAGGUCAAUGAGUCCUCCUAGAAGGCCAGAUAUAUGCAGGAAGCUCACAGUAGAGGAGGGUUUGAUGGAAAGAACACUGAGCGGAGGUAUUACUUCAAGGUUUAGAAGUUCAUAUGCUUAUGCUGGCACUCAGCCCUGGGAUUCAGCUGCCAGAAGUUCUCCAGUCACCACAGAGAGGUUGGACAGUCCAGCUCAGGCUUAUAAUCGUCCUGAGCAACCUGUAGAAGUAGAUUACACAUCCACAAGGGAUCCUAGUCCCUCCAGUUAUUCCACCUUACCCUAUGAACACCAUGAAAGGGCAAAAGUAAAAGACAGAGAAUCUCAUAGUCAGGACAACCACAGAGGUUCAGAUUUUUAUUCAGAAAUAGAGCGAGAGGGUGUACGAACACGCUCAAGGAGGAGUGAUAGAUGUCUUAUCUCAGACAGUCCUAGUCCUAUUACAACAUUAACUCUUGUGGAAGAGGUUGAAAGUGACCAGUCUCAAUUUUCUGUCCCCAGAAUGUCAGGGUCUUUCAAGGCCAAACCCACAGCUCAGUCUCCUAAAAUGUCUCCUGUGCAGACAAGUGCAAUUCUUGAAUACCUGAGUCUUCCAGGUUUCAUUGAAAUGAGUGUGGAUGAACCGGUAGAAGAAGGUGAAGUCACAGACACUUCUGGACAAAGUUCAAAAGUGGCUAAGCCAGAUGUAGUUCCUAAAAACUGGGAGGUUCAUGUUCAGGAAACCCGUGGAAAAGACGUAAACCAAAAGGAAGUUCGCUUUGUGCAGAGUGAACAGUCCAUAAGUGCUGCAGAGGCAAGCUUUGGUGCUGGUGAAAAACAAGGUGAUAGACAGUCACUCCAAAUGGAGACUAGAGGUCCCUCACCCAGAGUCAGAUUUCCAGAUGAAAUAAAUUCAUCUUCACAUGGUCCAGAAAAAACUAGCAAACAACUUUAUAAUGAGAAAACACAACUUAGGCUUGAGAACAAAAGCACAGGUAGGCCUGACACCCAACUGGGAUCCAGGUCAGCCCACACCUUGUUUAGUGCAGCUAGAGGCAUGGCAGAUAUAAUGUCAAAACACUCCCAGAGUUUUGGAGACAGUAGUGAGUCUUUAUCAGAGUCAUCCCAAAAACAAGCUUCUCAGGGCAGUAGGAAAAACAAUAUUGCAUCACGAAUAUGUCAAGCUCCUGUGCCAUUUCUGAAAAAAUCCCUAAGCAUUGGCCCUUGUAGAACCCUCUCAGGUGUGGGACGCCCUUUUCUAAAGAAAUCCAUCAGUUUAGGCUCACAGAGGUGGGAACACUUUGAGAGCCCGAGGGCUUACAUUUCAGAAACAUGUUACUGGGAUGAGUUCCCACACCCAGACGUCAGGGUGAAAUCCUACAGUUUGGGUCAUACUCCAUCUUCCCUUCCCCGACCAGGUCCCUCCUGGAGGGAGUAUGUCCCAAUUAGAAGACCCAGCAUAGGCAGCUUAGAGCGGCCUCACCACUCACAAAGAUCUUUAGCUAGUCCUCCCUACCUCACUUCUUCAAUGUACCCACUCAGACAAACCUCAGUCUCCCCGAUGCUGGAACCCUCUGAUCCACGUAGACAAGCUGCUGUUUUUCCAGAGUACGCCAGGUGGUCUCCCUCAUAUCAUGAUAUGCCAACGACUGCCCAUAAAUAUGUCCCUAUGCCUUCCUCCAUUCCUGUGCCCCAGUACCAACACUGGCCAGGGUCCAGAGGGGAAAGCAUGAGACCCAUGGAGCCCAGGAGGGGCCCACCGAGAUCCUACCUGCCCAGAGGCAUCAGCUGGCCUUCACCCUACUAUGCCCCCUUUCCACCCAGGGAAGGAGAGACGUACAGACCACCAGACAGGAUGGUAGGGAGGGCAGGGGAGACUGAAAUUCGAGAGGUCAGGGAGGGGGGAAGGGCCAGCUAUGCUAGUCAAAGCAGUGGUAGAGGAAGUGCUGGUCUCUUCCGCCAGUCCCUGUCCAUCACCCCCACCCUGCUCAGCUCCCCAGAAACCACAGAGGAGGGUGAGCGACACAGAGCUGAGAUGGAGCCACCUGAGAGAAGAGCCAAAAGGUGA
Molecule: long non-coding RNA, 3533 nt
Organism: Sphaeramia orbicularis (orbiculate cardinalfish)
Lineage: Eukaryota; Metazoa; Chordata; Actinopteri; Kurtiformes; Apogonidae
Source: Ensembl